RNAcentral lists this ribosomal RNA (403 nucleotides) under Verrucomicrobiota bacterium. Its description in RNAcentral is "Verrucomicrobia bacterium partial 16S ribosomal RNA". It matches the Rfam family "Bacterial small subunit ribosomal RNA", at positions 355 to 776 of the family's 1533-position model. The record is from RNAcentral. Lineage: Bacteria; Pseudomonadati; Verrucomicrobiota.
UGGGGAAUAUUGCACAAUGGGCGCAAGCCUGAUGCAGCAACGCCGCGUGAACGAUGAAGGUCUUCGGAUCGUAAAGUUCUGUUGCAGGGGAAGAUAAUGACGGUACCUUGUGAGGAAGCCCCGGCUAACUACGUGCCAGCAGCCGCGGUAAUACGUAGGGGGCUAGCGUUAUCCGGAUUUACUGGGCGUAAAGGGUGCGUAGGUGGUCUUUCAAGUCGGUGGUUAAAGGCUACGGCUCAACCGUAGUUAGCCUCCGAAACUGGAAGACUUGAGUGCAGGAGAGGAAAGUGGAAUUCCCAGUGUAGCGGUGAAAUGCGUAGAUAUUGGGAGGAACACCGGUGGCGAAAGCGGCUCUCUGGUCUGUAACUGACGCUGAGGCUCGAAAGCGUGGGGAGCGAACAGG